AUGCGUGCAUGGGGCCGUCCCACUAACAAACGACGCCGCAAUCAGCGCUCGGGCGACGUCGUUAGCCGACGUGCAUGCAAAAUUUCCUUCUACGUCACCCCGUCUCGCCGCCGCCGCGAUCUGCACGUGCUGCCACCGUACGCCGCCCGUCGCCCCACACUCCAAAACGGCGCCGGUGCGGCCGCGCCGGCCUGCCCUGACCUGACCCGUCGCCUUGUUUAUGUUGUCGCUGCCUCUCCCACCGUCGCCCCACCGUACAAACUCCGUCGGUGCGCCCGCGCCGGCUUGCGUCCCCUCACCCGUCGCCACUAUACGCCGCCGGUGCCUCUCCCAUCGUCGCCUUCGUUUCUCUUAGGAACUAUAAUUGCACCAGUGUCUCAUGAAUACGUUCCGAAAAAGUACUAUGCCUUAGUGAAAAAUAUUAAGUUGAUAAGGAAGUUCAACUGGAAUGCAUUCACUUCACGAUUCUGUUUAUCGGAGAUUGGUAAGCUUCUGCAGGACGGCCAUGUUAGGCAGUGGCCCCAGGGGAACCUCGCCCUUUUGCAAUACCUAUACUGGGAGAAGGUGCAACCAAUCACCGGUCCAAAAUAUGAUCCGUUGGCAUUGUUGAGCCCGCUGAUGAGGAACUGGACGGAAGAUAUGGCUGUGAGAAGAGACAAAUACGACU
Molecule: ribosomal RNA, 667 nt
Filed under: Triticum aestivum (bread wheat)
Lineage: Eukaryota; Viridiplantae; Streptophyta; Magnoliopsida; Poales; Poaceae
Description: partial small subunit ribosomal RNA
Source: RNAcentral